AAUAUUUUUAGCAAAAUUCAAGAAAGAGAAAUUCAACAUUCAUUCAUCUGGAAUCUCAACUUUCGUAUGCACACUAGGAAAGAGGAACGCAAACCCUAUAUCACAAACAACAAAUUCAAAACUCGCGAAAAUUUGAACAAUCGAUUCACCAAUUUCAAACCCCUUUCGGCUUACUCGGGAAUCCUAGAAAACACUUCUCAAUCGAUUCAUCUGCGAAUCCUUUUAUUGUUGGAAUUUUCCGCCAAUCGCAAGCCCUUCAAAUCGCAAACAGUCCCUUCAUAAAUUGCAAAACCUUCGUUAAUUGAUUCUAUUUUUCGAGUGUUUGAGUCUCAAGGUGUUUAUACUCAUCUCUAAUCAGAGCAGAGUUUUGGGGUUUUCAUUUGAGUUGGAUAUCAUGGACAAAGGUACCGAUGUCAUAAAUCUGUUACAAGGAAAUGUUAUUCACCUCCGACUUGGCUAUGUUGGCGUUGUAAAUCGUAGUCAAUAGGAUAUUCAAGCUUGGGUGUGGGGUUUAUACUCGAUCGAAUCUGAGCUAACAGUAAAAAGGAAAGAGAUGUGGAAUGAUCUCCGGUCAGUAUUGGAGGGUGUUCAUUUGGUUCAGCUGUGGUGUGAUCUUCAGUUCGGAAUGAUGUUCGUUCAGUAUUGCAGAGUUGUUAAAUCAAGAUUUUAGGGUGUUAUACUUUUUUUCUUAAUUUAGUUCAAUAUCAAAAAGUAAUGUUUGUACUCAAGUAAGACAAAAUGAAGACAAAAUGAAGGUUAUUGAUAUAAUAAAAGAUGUGAAAUUUUCUUAUUCUGAUUUUUUUUUUAAAAUUC
Molecule: long non-coding RNA, 813 nt
Organism: Vicia villosa (hairy vetch)
Lineage: Eukaryota; Viridiplantae; Streptophyta; Magnoliopsida; Fabales; Fabaceae
Exons: 3
Source: RefSeq, a predicted model, not a curated record